GAGUUUGAUCCUGGCUCAGAACGAACGCUGGCGGCGUGGAUAAGACAUGCAAGUCGAACGAGAAACUUACUUAGCUUGCUUUGAAAGUUUCUAGUGGCGGACGGGUGAGUAACACGUGAGUUACCUGCCCCGAAGUGGGGGAUAGCCUUCCGAAAGGGAGAUUAAUACCCCAUGUGAUCGCAAGAUUAAAGGCGGCCAUCUUUGAUGGCUGUCGCUUCGGGAUGGGCUCGCGGCCUAUCAGCUAGUUGGUGAGGUAACUGCUUACCAAGGCGAUGACGGGUAGCUGGUCUGAGAGGACGACCAGUCACACUGGAACUGAGACACGGUCCAGACACCUACGGGUGGCAGCAGUCGAGAAUCAUUCGCAAUGGGCGAAAGCCUGACGGUGCGACGCCGCGUGGAGGAUGAAGGCCCUAGGGUCGUAAACUCCUGUCAUCAGGGAGUAAUGGCUCACGUAGUAACUGCCGUGAGCAGUGAUAGUACCUGAAGAGGAAGGGACGGCAAACUUCGUGCCAGCAGCCGCGGUAAUACGAAGGUCUCAAGCGUUGUUCGGAUUUACUGGGCGUAAAGCGUCUGUAGGCGGAGUGGUAAGUCAGAUGUGAAAUCCCGGGGCUCAACCCCGGAACUGCAUCCGAUACUGCCACCCUAGAGGGUCGGAGGGGAGUCUGGAAUUCUCGGUGUAGCAGUGAAAUGCGUAGAUAUCGAGAGGA
RNAcentral lists this ribosomal RNA (710 nucleotides) under uncultured bacterium. RNAcentral's name for it is "bacterial SSU rRNA". It matches the Rfam family "Bacterial small subunit ribosomal RNA", at positions 9 to 705 of the family's 1533-position model. The record is from RNAcentral.